RNAcentral lists this long non-coding RNA (564 nucleotides) under Androctonus crassicauda. Lineage: Eukaryota; Metazoa; Arthropoda; Arachnida; Scorpiones; Buthidae. The record is from RNAcentral.
AUAUGACCUCAAAGAAGAAGAAGCCUUUUCACAAACUGCCCAACCUUGUGGCUGGAUCAGCCGGAUUGUGUCAAGACGGCUACCGACGGGCCGGGAUGUGACCCCAUGAUAAAUAUAUCUGAAAGAUGAGAUCGACACUCGAAUUCAGAUCCUUCAGGAUGGAAAGUCAAAAGUAUUCCAAGCAGUUAAUCUAGUCGAUUCUUUAAUGGAAUCGAUGUUAUGUGAACGAUCAGAUUCAAAGAGCUGGGCCCUGACUUCUGAGAAAAUUUUGAAGUAUGAAUCCAGGAAUUCAAUCUGGUUCUUUCAGGUGUAAGGCAAUGCUUUAUCACGUAGUCAUCUGUUAUCGGAUUGUAAUGAUUCCGACAUCACCCACCAGAGACAUUAUACCGAAACACAAGCUGAGAUAUCUAGUUAAAAGUUUCGUUUUUUGGACUUUUCGGAGCAACUAUGAGAUUUUGAGAGAACAUACCUUGACAAUGUCCUCAGUGAAGGAUUUAUGGUUUAUGGGAUCUGCGUGCAGCUUUAAUUAGCGCCAUUUUGAUUAUGAUGAAAUAAUAUCAGGAG